UACGAAGGGGGCGAGCGUUGUUCGGAUUUACUGGGCGUAAAGGGCGCGCAGGCGGUUCUGUUUGUCGAGUGUGAAAGCCCCGGGCUCAACCUGGGAACUGCAUUUGAGACUGCGUAGCUAGGGUGCGGAAGAGGGAAGCGGAAUUUCCGGUGUAGCGGUGAAAUGCGUAGAUAUCGGAAGGAACACCAGUGGCGAAAGCGGCUUCCUGGUCCAGCACCGACGUUCAGGCACGAAAGCGUGGGGAGCAAACAGG
This 253-nucleotide ribosomal RNA is filed under the name uncultured bacterium. RNAcentral describes it as "partial 16S ribosomal RNA". It matches the Rfam family "Bacterial small subunit ribosomal RNA", at positions 524 to 776 of the family's 1533-position model. The record is from RNAcentral.